RNAcentral lists this ribosomal RNA (1522 nucleotides) under metagenome. Its description in RNAcentral is "bacterial SSU rRNA". It matches the Rfam family "Bacterial small subunit ribosomal RNA". The record is from RNAcentral.
AGAGUUUGAUCAUGGCUCAGAUUGAACGCUGGCGGCAGGCCUAACACAUGCAAGUCGAACGGUAACAGGAAACAGCUUGCUGUUUCGCUGACGAGUGGCGGACGGGUGAGUAAUGUCUGGGAAACUGCCUGAUGGAGGGGGAUAACUACUGGAAACGGUAGCUAAUACCGCAUAACGUCGCAAGACCAAAGAGGGGGACCUUCGGGCCUCUUGCCAUCAGAUGUGCCCAGAUGGGAUUAGCUAGUAGGUGGGGUAACGGCUCACCUAGGCGACGAUCCCUAGCUGGUCUGAGAGGAUGACCAGCCACACUGGAACUGAGACACGGUCCAGACUCCUACGGGAGGCAGCAGUGGGGAAUAUUGCACAAUGGGCGCAAGCCUGAUGCAGCCAUGCCGCGUGUAUGAAGAAGGCCUUCGGGUUGUAAAGUACUUUCAGCGGGGAGGAAGGGAGUAAAGUUAAUACCUUUGCUCAUUGACGUUACCCGCAGAAGAAGCGCCGGCUAACUCCGUGCCAGCAGCCGCGGUAAUACGGAGGGUGCAAGCGUUAAUCGGAAUUACUGGGCGUAAAGCGCACGCAGGCGGUUUGUUAAGUCAGAUGUGAAAUCCCCGGGCUCAACCUGGGAACUGCAUCUGAUACUGGCAAGCUUGAGUCUCGUAGAGGGGGGUAGAAUUCCAGGUGUAGCGGUGAAAUGCGUAGAGAUCUGGAGGAAUACCGGUGGCGAAGGCGGCCCCCUGGACGAAGACUGACGCUCAGGUGCGAAAGCGUGGGGAGCAAACAGGAUUAGAUACCCUGGUAGUCCACGCCGUAAACGAUGUCGACUUGGAGGUUGUGCCCUUGAGGCGUGGCUUCCGGAGCUAACGCGUUAAGUCGACCGCCUGGGGAGUACGGCCGCAAGGUUAAAACUCAAAUGAAUUGACGGGGGCCCGCACAAGCGGUGGAGCAUGUGGUUUAAUUCGAUGCAACGCGAAGAACCUUACCUGGUCUUGACAUCCACGGAAGUUUUCAGAGAUGAGAAUGUGCCUUCGGGAACCGUGAGACAGGUGCUGCAUGGCUGUCGUCAGCUCGUGUUGUGAAAUGUUGGGUUAAGUCCCGCAACGAGCGCAACCCUUAUCCUUUGUUGCCAGCGGUCCGGCCGGGAACUCAAAGGAGACUGCCAGUGAUAAACUGGAGGAAGGUGGGGAUGACGUCAAGUCAUCAUGGCCCUUACGACCAGGGCUACACACGUGCUACAAUGGCGCAUACAAAGAGAAGCGACCUCGCGAGAGCAAGCGGACCUCAUAAAGUGCGUCGUAGUCCGGAUUGGAGUCUGCAACUCGACUCCAUGAAGUCGGAAUCGCUAGUAAUCGUGGAUCAGAAUGCCACGGUGAAUACGUUCCCGGGCCUUGUACACACCGCCCGUCACACCAUGGGAGUGGGUUGCAAAAGAAGUAGGUAGCUUAACCUUCGGGAGGGCGCUUACCACUUUGUGAUUCAUGACUGGGGUGAAGUCGUAACAAGGUAACCGUAGGGGAACCUGCGGUUG